Molecule: ribosomal RNA, 253 nt
Filed under: uncultured bacterium
Lineage: Bacteria
Description: partial 16S ribosomal RNA
Rfam family: Bacterial small subunit ribosomal RNA
Source: RNAcentral
UACGUAGGGUGCAAGCGUUAAUCGGAAUUACUGGGCGUAAAGCGUGCGCAGGCGGUUUUGUAAGUCUGUCGUGAAAUCCCCGGGCUCAACCUGGGAAUUGCGAUGGAGACUGCAAGGCUAGAGUUUGGCAGAGGGGGGUAGAAUUCCACGUGUAGCAGUGAAAUGCGUAGAGAUGUGGAGCAACACCGAUGGCGAAGGCAGCCCCCUGGGUCAAAACUGACGCUCAUGCACGAAAGCGUGGGGAGCAAACAGG